Molecule: transfer RNA, 73 nt
Filed under: Ictidomys tridecemlineatus (thirteen-lined ground squirrel)
Lineage: Eukaryota; Metazoa; Chordata; Mammalia; Rodentia; Sciuridae
Description: Spermophilus tridecemlineatus (thirteen-lined ground squirrel) tRNA
Rfam family: tRNA
About the family: Transfer RNA (tRNA) molecules are approximately 80 nucleotides in length. Their secondary structure includes four short double-helical elements and three loops (D, anti-codon, and T loops). Further hydrogen bonds mediate the characteristic L-shaped molecular structure. tRNAs have two regions of fundamental functional importance: the anti-codon, which is responsible for specific mRNA codon recognition, and the 3' end, to which the tRNAs corresponding amino acid is attached (by aminoacyl-tRNA synthetases). tRNAs cope with the degeneracy of the genetic code in two manners: having more than one tRNA (with a specific anti-codon) for a particular amino acid; and 'wobble' base-pairing, i.e. permitting non-standard base-pairing at the 3rd anti-codon position.
Source: Rfam by way of RNAcentral
GGGGAUAUAACUCAGUUGGUACAGUGCUUGCCUUGCAUACAUGAGGCCCUAGGUUCAACCCCUAGCAUCACAA